AUCGCUUCUCGGCCUUUUGGCUAAGAUCAAGUGUAGUGAUAUUAUUCAAAAUAAGUGGCUAUAUUUUGGAGCUUCUGAUUUGUUGCUCAUAAAAUAGCAACUAUAGCAUAACAAUAUUGGCUAUGAGGUGUUGAAAGUUG
This 140-nucleotide small nuclear RNA is filed under the name Mus musculus (house mouse). RNAcentral describes it as "U2 spliceosomal RNA". It matches the Rfam family "U2 spliceosomal RNA". Rfam says of the family: U2 is a small nuclear RNA (snRNA) component of the spliceosome (involved in pre-mRNA splicing). Lineage: Eukaryota; Metazoa; Chordata; Mammalia; Rodentia; Muridae. RNAcentral also lists the same sequence under 1 other name. The record is from Rfam by way of RNAcentral.